This 409-nucleotide ribosomal RNA is filed under the name uncultured Pimelobacter sp. Its description in RNAcentral is "bacterial SSU rRNA". It matches the Rfam family "Bacterial small subunit ribosomal RNA", at positions 355 to 776 of the family's 1533-position model. Lineage: Bacteria; Bacillati; Actinomycetota; Actinomycetes; Propionibacteriales; Nocardioidaceae. The record is from RNAcentral.
UGGGGAAUAUUGGACAAUGGGCGGAAGCCUGAUCCAGCAACGCCGCGUGAGGGAUGACGGCCUUCGGGUUGUAAACCUCUUUCAGUACCGACGAAGCGUGAGUGACGGUAGGUACAGAAGAAGGACCGGCCAACUACGUGCCAGCAGCCGCGGUAAUACGUAGGGUCCGAGCGUUGUCCGGAAUUAUUGGGCGUAAAGGGCUCGUAGGCGGUUUGUCGCGUCGGGAGUGAAAACACCGGGCUUAACUCGGUGCUUGCUUUCGAUACGGGCAGACUAGAGGUAUGCAGGGGAGAAUGGAAUUCCUGGUGUAGCGGUGAAAUGCGCAGAUAUCAGGAGGAACACCGGUGGCGAAGGCGGUUCUCUGGGCAUUACCUGACGCUGAGGAGCGAAAGUGUGGGGAGCGAACAGG